GAUGUUCUCGUGGGGAUGGGUUUGGGAAGGCCGGGUUUCAUCCCGGUUGCCAUCUUGACUCCUGCCUCCUCCAUCUCUCUCCCCGCGUCACCAUGGGAGCCCCGCCGACGCCUGCCAUCCCUCCUCCCUCGUCUCCGUUCGAAGCCGAGGACCGGCUCACCCCACAGCUUUUCUCCACCUACGACCUAGGGUUGGGGAGGGAGGCCGGGUCUUCUCGGUGGGGUGGAGGAGCCGGGGAUGGCCGGGAGGCCGACGGUGGGGGGAGCAUCGAGGCCGGCGGAUGGAGCAGCGAGGCCCGAGCUCUAGGCGUCGUACACAUUGAUGGAUGGAGAAGAGGCCGGCGUGGGGCGCAAGGAGCAGCGGGGGGAGAACGGUGGGGCUUUCAUCUCCUCUCUUCUAAUCGCGACUCCUGUGACCUCGCCACCGGUGCUCGCUCGACUGGCGUAUGGGGCGGCGGCCGGGACGUUGGCCCUCGGCCGAACUCGAAGCCGAGUCUAGCUGACAAGACUCGUGGUAUACUGAUUCCUUGAUGCUCUGUUCAUGAAGCUAUGCAGGCCGGCGGUUAGUGUUGCAGCCUGCACACACGACAGGAGCAGCAGUCAGGUCCAUGGACAUUGCUUUGGGAGCAGCGGUCAAGCCACGGGGUACCAUCAAUUCAGAAAAUAACUUUCCUUCUUGUGAGAUAUCAAACAAUACAUUUCCUACAAAUCCGAGAUUCAGGCAGCCUUGUUGAUGUACGAAGAAUUGGUGCAUUUUGUCGGAAGAUGACGAACUAUUUCUUCACUCACAUGGCCAGGUACAUGCAAAUCUUUAUGUUUUUCAAGAUUGCUGGGUCUGUAGUCUGUACAUGGGCUACAUUCAUUUUCUCAUAUGUGUUUCUACUGGUUCGCAGCAGCUACCUAUUGGCCUUUUUUGACGUACCUUUAUUAACAUGUUAUCAGGUAUACGAUCACUUUUAGAGCAUGUUAUCACAUACCACAUGGUUUAGUGAGACAUACCAAUAUCAUUAUAAAUCUCUGGUUUACUAUCGAAUUCUUGAAUUUUUAUUUGAGAUCCUUUUGUUCAUCUCCUCCAAUUGUUGUCUGAAAAUAGUCUUGUUUUACCCACAUCAUUUCUAUAAACCAAGUAGCCUUUGGAGGAUGUAGCAAACCUUCAUGUCUGCAGCCUGUCAUCCUUGAACAAGACUAAUUGGAAAUUGUCUGAUAUUGAACUUUUGAAGUACGAAAUUUAUGCUUUCGUUACCUACUUAGCUAUGUUACACGCCAUUCAUUCAUUUGCUAUGUGAUCUUGAUCUGUGCUUUGCAUUCUUACUUGAUUGGUUAUUCCCAGAUUGAUCUCAAUGUUUUGAAUGCUCAAGUCAACCAUGAUACUUAAAAUCGUCUCUUAACUUAUUGCAUUCACUGCUGAAAUUUUCACACUCCCUGUCAUUAUUGUGUACAGUGAAUCUUGCAUCUUUUGAAUUGUUGAAACAAACUUAUGCGUAAUUAUGGGGCAUCCAAUGCAAGCCCCAGCCACGGGAUGUCAGUUCCGCACCGCUGCCAGCGACCGCCGUUCUGUUGCCUUGGAUUCGGGUGUGGCGUUGGCUGGGAACCGUAUGGUGUUUGUCUGACGCGCCGUCCGCAUCGUGGGGGUUUGGUCGGUUGACUCCAGGUAUGAGCAGCUCCUGAGCUUGAUGGCUGGAUGUAUCAUGGUCAUGUUGCUUGGUGUGCAGAGGCAACCUCAUUUUUGGACCAAAAAGAGGGGCGAUGACGAUGACGACUGGCUGAAACAAUCAUGUCUUGAGCAAUCAAGACAGCCUUGGCUUGUGGGACUAAACAGAGCUGAAAAAGUCGGUGUCACCGUUGGAGUUGCCCUUAGAGCCUACCCUAACCUCUGUUGUAGCCUGCUCAAUUUUAUUGCCGAUGUUGGAUGAUCUGUGCCUUGGACGGUUGUUCUGAUGAGUGAUACUCUGGGACUAGGUCUAUUUCAACACACUAACCCAUUGACCUCCCAUGUUCCUGGGGAGCGUUGCAUGUCGGAAAAGUUAGGGUUUGUGUCACGCAAAGUUCUGCAUUGACACUUAGAAAGUAAGUGAAAAGUGAUAUGCCAUUUUUUGAGGCUAUCUACAAUCCCGUUAAAAGGCAACUGCUAAACACCGAAGGGCAAUGGAACUCAAUUUGUCGGUAUCGCAGUUUGAUAAAUUAUAUUAGUGGUAUUUCUUGGAUUUAUAUAAGAAAAACAAAAAUAGCUACCUUUGUGUGAAUUACAAUGCUAAUGAUCAAUUCUUUGUAUCAGACAUGAAUGGACAGAUUCAAGAUUUCCUUUCACCUAGGCUUGGUUAGUUGGCCACUUCAAUUCCCACUUCCUGUCAUGUAAUCUUGAUGUCGAUACUUUGACAUUACAUACAGAAUAUGAUGCAAUAUGUAGAAGUUACUAAUGGUCAAAAAUUUUCUGGAUACGACGCUUGCUUACUCCUAUUCACAUUAUGUAGAAGUUGCAUAAGGCAGAACAAGAAUAAGAACAUUUGUCAGUUUUUUCAUUUGCAGGUUCAGCAGCGGGCAAUGCUCAAGACAGAGUUGGGCGCACAUCAUAUAUAUACAUAUGUUGUCGUGUCUUAAUAAAUGGAGAUGAGCAGAAGUAGAGAUGAAAUAGGCUGUUCUGUUGCUUCUGUGACCGGCAAGUGUUCAUUGCAUGCCUGUGUGUCGUUGUGCUCUGAUUGGUUGUUUUUUGUGUAUUUUCGCAGGUUGCACGAGCUCUGCUGUAGCUGCGUCGUUCGACUCAUCAAGAUAUACCACGAAGGGAAGAUCUGCCUCACUGUGCACUUCAGGGGCGCAUACACUAGCGAUGGUACAGGAUUGGCUUCCUGGUGGAAUCAGGUGCGCGUCGUCCAUGGUGGCCUGUCGUGGGUGUUGGUGGGCGGCUGGAGGCGGCUGUAGCAGGUCGAUUUAUCUGACUACUGAAAAUGAGCUUCAGAAUAUCUGUAGAACGUAGCCCACUUCCAGCCAAAUAUCAAUUAUGAUAAUUCCACCAUGUACCAUGAUCAUUUGAACAGUCUUGCUUAAGUUUAUGUUAGCCCUGUAUGCUAAUUUGAGGAGAUUGUUAACUUUAAGGUGCGAACAUUUAUAAAAUGAUAAUUGUACCGUUCUUUGGGAUUUUGUGAUUCCUAUGGAAUUAAGAGGUCAUCUAUUGCCCUAUCCCUAUUUGUAAUUUCAAAUAGUUAUUUUUGGGUGCACUUCUGUUUUAGAAAUGAAUCAGUAACCAAUUAUGCUUGAUGUUUCAAGCAGAACUAGAAUUGGUAAACAACUAUCUGUGAAGCAUAUAUGGAGGCGGGAGUCUGGUUUGUUUUUUUGCUAUGUGCCUAUUUGCUUAAGAAAAUACUUGACUAGAGAGCAGAUUCCAAAUGGAGCUGCAUUUUCAUGCGUCAGGUCUAUUUUUUAUUUGCAAUGUUGCACCCUCUUUUCAUUUCUUGUGAAUAUUUUUUUUGUUUGAUCAGUACUGCACCUGGUUAUCUACAGAGGAAGGCAAGGAUAACUAGAUUAAACAUUUCACAAGACCCUCCCAAUUACAGGCACAAACUCCUUUCAAGAUAUUACAAGUGUGGUUGAUUAUGGGAGAUUGUCAGAUGAAAAGAAGGUAUAUCCUUUAUAUUUAUCUAGAUGUUUAAUUAGCUGCACAACCAUAAUUGAUUCUAUAAGGAAACUAUUUAUCCUGAUGAUCUUGAUAUCCAGUCAUGUAUUACAGUAUUAGUAUAGGCUGUAAUUUUUGGCUAGGAAUCUAUAUAUACAGAACCUAAACUGAAGACUCAAUAUAGCACAUAUACUUGGCCAGUUAUCCUAAGAAUAUUAAUCCACCUGGACUUUUAACUUGACUUCCAAAGAAGUUCUUAACGAUCAAGCAUUUUUGAGUUUUUAGUAAAUUGAAAUAAUGUUGCACUUUGACAAUACUAUUCUGAUUUUGCAAGUUAAUAGAAAUCCUUCAAUUUCAUAUCACUAUUUUAAUCGCAUAUUUGGAUGAUUGCGACAUUAUCUCUUCUCGGAAUUCCGCUUGCAUGUUUCCAGUUGAGACAAUAACUGAGUUUGAUAAGUAACCACUAUAUUAUUUUCUAUGUGUACACAUGUUGUCGCUCUGCUUGAGUCAUCCAUCUCCACAUUACGAGCCCGAGACUUCCAUCACAACAAUCUAUAUGUAUCCAGGUAGUGUCCAAUAUGUACACACAGGCUCCUCUCACAGGUCGACUAAGCUGAUUGUAACUGAAUGUGUGUGUGUGGCCGUGAAGCAGACUUUAUCUUGGUCUGAGUAUCAGUUCCCUUCAAUGGUACAAUUUUGGAUACUAUUUUCUUCUAGAUGUAUAGGUUUCUGCUGGUCCCAUUGGCUGCUACAUUUUAGUGAUACGAUAGCUCAAUGUCAUGCUCACCAAUUGUUCUGUAAAAAUGAAAAAUCGACUUGACUGUAUUUUGUACCUGUUUUAGUAAUUACAUGAUGUGAUUAGUUUCAUUCUAGAUAUGGAAAUAUUCUAAGGGUUAAGCUUUUUGAGACGUUAAGGUAUCUGAUGAUUAAUUAGCCUUUGUAAGAUUUAUGCACUCAUGUCAUACAACCUAGAUAAUUCUCCUUGGAUCUCCAUAAUUUCUAAUUGAAUAUAGAUGUAUACUGACAGUAAAUCCCGUUUUAGUAAUUAGUUGGAUAUAAGUGAUAAUUCUUUGACAUGUUUUUAUGAAAUGUCUGCUUAAAUCAGCGUUAGAUGCUCCCAUAAUCGAUUACUUUUUGGAUAUGAAUUAUUACUAUAAGAAGUAUAUUGGUUCUCCGGUGUUUUCAGUUCUUACAAUAAACAAAUUAUAUUGUUUUCCACUAAUCAUUUCUCAUGUAGUUUUACUCUGCAGUAUGUAUCUUUUGCUUCAUAACUCAUCUGUUCACAAGAUUGAUGCCUAGAAAUUUCAGCCUUCCGUGCUAAAUGCCGUCUGCUCAUUUGUAACGGCAUAGAGAUAGGAACGAGCAAUUCAUCUUAAGUUUGAGAAAGUGGCGGACAAAAGAGAACUGGACUAUUGUUGCUGAGCGCUAGCUCUGGCCGCAUGAUCAUCUAUAUAUAUAGUUUUCAACAGUAAAUGCAUCCUGAUUGGUAUAGCACAAAUGGAAAUCUUACUUUCUUCUAAACUCUUAAUUUCAAGAUGAACUGGAGAGGGGAAUUUGUACUAAGUUUGGAAUCUAUCACAGUAAGUGUGUAUUUGCGGUAUUGAUGUACAGUUAUUAAGAAAGUUACAUUUUUCAGCUAUUGUGCUACUGAGAAGGAAGCAUGGCUGAGAAUUGCUCUGGCUGGAGUUGAAUGUCUUUGUGACUGAAUACUAGAGACGCUGACUUGCAGCCACUCUUUACAGUCCUACCACGUAGCUUUUAUCUCUCACCUUCCGUUAUUUUCAUGUUAACACUGCCAUUGGGGCAAAUCUAUAUUGCUUAUUGAUCGGGUCUAGCUAUAGGUAGAAUUCCAUGUUUCCUACACUGUAUUAUACCCAUUACUAAUUGAAUGUUGAUUCUGACAAUCUUAAGACAUCCACCAUAGUCGUGGCAACUCGAAAAACGUAAGCUGGAGAAAUAUCAAAAUCACACGAAACCUCCCCUUAGCUAAUACCAUAAGGGUUCGAUUGAGGCUCUCUGUUAACAGCGCUUUGGUAAAAGUAAGCGUGUGGAUGAUGUUAUAGUGAGCUACCAUCACUUCUUAUUACUGACUGUAAUCAAUAUAUAUGUGUUUAUGCCAUAAAAGAUGGAUAUUUGUCGAAGCCAUUGUGGUGUCAUGUAAUUACUUGCAGAUCAACUAUAUAGUUUUGUUUGGAUUGUAAAGUGGAAACGAUAAAACCCUACAACUCAUGUGUGAAACUCAGUUGAUUAUUUACUUCCUCAAGUAGUAUGGAUAUGGUGCUGCCAGGAUAUUAAGUAUAUUCAUGAAGUUGUAUAAACCACGUUCUACGA
Triticum dicoccoides is the source of this 5937-nucleotide long non-coding RNA. RefSeq lists it as uncharacterized. The record is from RefSeq and is a predicted model, not a curated record. The transcript has 4 exons. Lineage: Eukaryota; Viridiplantae; Streptophyta; Magnoliopsida; Poales; Poaceae.